Molecule: long non-coding RNA, 495 nt
Organism: Passer domesticus (house sparrow)
Lineage: Eukaryota; Metazoa; Chordata; Aves; Passeriformes; Passeridae
Exons: 3
Source: RefSeq, a predicted model, not a curated record
UAUGACGACAGCACAGGGGUCCUGCCAAGGGUGGGGAGAAAUAUCUGUAUUCCUCAGAUCCUGUGUAUCUUCCUUUUAUAAUUAUUAUAAUUAUUCAUUAAAUCUCUCAGAUUUCCAGUUAGUCAAACACAUCUCGUGCUGAGGGAAUAUUCAGUGCCUGCAAUAGAAUGGGCUUCACCUGCUUCUACCUGCUUUUUGAGCAGCUGGGAAAGUAAUUGCUGGUGGAAACACAUGGACACAGUGAGCUUCAGCACCGCCAGGACUGCAUCAGGCCAUGUGGUUAACUUGAACUGCAUGGGUUUGGAUUCCCUCUCUUAAUUCUGAACCCACAACAUAAGGGGAGCAUAUUUCCCUGCUCCCACAUCAUUAUUUGCAAUCACUGUUAUCCAAAUAAUCUGGUUCAUAGAUAAAAACUCUUUAAAAAACAUGCUGGAAGAAAGACAAUAGAUCAGCUAACAAUAGACUGGCUAAUCAUUUAGGAAAACUAAUAAAAUA